This 79-nucleotide small RNA is filed under the name Flavobacterium frigidimaris. RNAcentral describes it as "Flavo-1 RNA". It matches the Rfam family "Flavo-1 RNA". The record is from RNAcentral. Lineage: Bacteria; Pseudomonadati; Bacteroidota; Flavobacteriia; Flavobacteriales; Flavobacteriaceae.
UUUUAGCCCCGAUGGAAGCGACAUCCUUUUUAUCCGCUUUUUUGCGGAUGAAAAGAUAUAGCGGACAGCGGGAUUAGCU